Long non-coding RNA from Saccostrea echinata, 398 nucleotides. RefSeq lists it as uncharacterized. Lineage: Eukaryota; Metazoa; Mollusca; Bivalvia; Ostreida; Ostreidae. The record is from RefSeq and is a predicted model, not a curated record. The transcript has 3 exons.
ACCUUUGGAAGAUUUGGAAAUGGAUGUGUGAAUAUUUGCAGCUGGCAUUGUCUUUACAAUGAAACAUGUAGCCAUGUGAAUGGAAUUUGUAGGAAAGGUUGUGCUCCAGGAUAUUUUGGAUCCCUUUGCAGUAAAGUUUGCCCCGUUGGUUCCUAUUGCUUGAAUUGUUCUGGCAAAUGUUCUCGUAACUAUAUUGGCACUUGUCCAAAUACCGAUGGUUCCUGUAAAUGUGUACCUGGAUUUACUGGCUCACCAAACUGCACCACCAAAUGUCCCCCUGGUAUUUAUGGUAUAAACUGUCAGUACAGAUGUAGCGGUCAAUGUGCCAAUGAUGAGACCUGCAGUAGAUAUGACGGAAGUUGCUCUGUAGGGUGUAAAGAUAAUUAUGUUGGAGUAGC